CUGAUAUUAAGCUUCUCUUCCCCUAUUUUCAGUCUGAGAUUUCCCGAUUAGAAGAUGAUAUAAAUCGGUUGCAUGACCAGCUAAGAAAGGCUGGAGUUAAUCUGGAUGAUAAUCCAGUAGUAAGCAACAAGAAUUCCAGAAAAGAUCUUGUAGUAGAAAUUGAUCCUGUCAAUAAUGAAACACGGGAAAAAGUUAAAGAGGCAAUGCUCCAUGCUUGGAGUUCUUAUGUUAAGUAUGCCUGGGGAAUGGACAAGCUUCAGCCACAAUCGAAGAAUGGUAUCAACAGCUUUGGUGGUCUUGGAGCAACCCUUGUUGACUCACUUGAUACCCUAUACAUAAUGGGCCUGAAAGAUGAAUUUUAGAAAGCUAGAGACUGGGUGGCGGAGUCAUUAGACUUUGACAAGGAUUAUGAUGCGAGUGUUUUUGAAACGACCAUAAGGGUUGUUGGAGGUCUGCUUAGUUCAUACGAUCUAUCUGGUGAUAAAGUAUUUCUU
Molecule: long non-coding RNA, 494 nt
Organism: Zea mays
Lineage: Eukaryota; Viridiplantae; Streptophyta; Magnoliopsida; Poales; Poaceae
Exons: 5
Source: RefSeq, a predicted model, not a curated record